CCUACGGGUGGCAGCAGUGGGGAAUAUUGCACAAUGGGGGAAACCCUGAUGCAGCGACGCCGCGUGAGUGAAGAAGUAUUUCGGUAUGUAAAGCUCUAUCAGCAGGGAAGAAGAAAGACGGUACCUGACUAAGAAGCCCCGGCUAACUACGUGCCAGCAGCCGCGGUAAUACGUAGGGGGCAAGCGUUAUCCGGAUUUACUGGGUGUAAAGGGAGCGUAGACGGCUGUGCAAGUCUGAAGUGAAAGCCCAGGGCUCAACCCUGGGACUGCUUUGGAAACUGUGGAGCUUGAGUACUGGAGAGGCAGACGGAAUGCCUAGUGUAGCGGUGAAAUGCGUAGAUAUUAGGAGGAACACCAGUGGCGAAGGCGGUCUGCUGGACAGCAACUGACGCUGAGGCGCGAAAGCGUGGGGAGCAAACAGGAUUAGAUACCCCAGUAGUC
This 441-nucleotide ribosomal RNA is filed under the name uncultured bacterium. RNAcentral describes it as "partial 16S ribosomal RNA". It matches the Rfam family "Bacterial small subunit ribosomal RNA", at positions 338 to 795 of the family's 1533-position model. The record is from RNAcentral.